Molecule: long non-coding RNA, 434 nt
Organism: Alexandromys fortis (reed vole)
Lineage: Eukaryota; Metazoa; Chordata; Mammalia; Rodentia; Cricetidae
Exons: 3
Source: RefSeq, a predicted model, not a curated record
AUGGGCCAGGGAGUGGAAUGUGAAGGUCUGGAUGAGAAUGGCCUCCCUAAAUUCACGUGUGUGCAUGCUUACUUCCCCGUGGAUGAACUGGGAACUAUCAUCAUCUGGAAAUAUCUUAACUCACAAUCUGAUGUCCUGGCCUGUGGUAGCUCAGAAUCUAACUACUGUAGGAUGAUGUUCAAAGACACUUGUUAGCCUGUUUAGAAGGCCUAAGCUUCCUCACAGUAUGGUGGCCUCCUCGUCGUCAGUCAUCUUGCCUGACUACUCUGACUCAAGUCGCUCAGGCUGGCCUCCAGCUCCUUACAUAACCGAGGAUGACCUGCAGCUUCUAAUUCUCCUGCUUCUGCUCCGGAAACAUAUUCAUGGACAAACCAGAAGUGUGUCUCCUAGCUAACUCCAAAUCCAGUCAACUUGAGGAUGAAGACAGAUAUCAG